CUGAAGCUCAGCCUUCUCAGUAGCAACUCGCACCAGAAACUGACCAAAUGGGCAAUGCUCUUCUGUUUCCUUAGGUCACGUACCGCGGACCGCACGUCGCGGCUUGGUUCUGUUCGCUAUCGCAGCCUGGACAACAUUCACAGAUGGGGGAAAGCGGAAGAGGCCCUAUAGAUAGAUAGUUCCGAGACAUCGACCGUAGUAGUGGUCGUGGGUGGAUGUGUUGGUGGUAGCUUGGUAAGCGACAUAUCGUAAGAAGCGGAGUCUUCUUCGUGUGAGGUUAGAAGCAUGAUCACGUUGUCGAUCACUGCAUGGACAAACUGAAUAGUGUUAGGUCGGUCAUGAUGGAGACUGCAAGACCAGAGAUUCCCGCAUGGCUCUCGACACCAGUUUCAGAUGAGGAUCGAAACUAAAACUGCUCAACGGUGCAUCUGUGCUUUAUCUAUUGAACCAACGAGAUAGCUAAGUACGAAAAAUGCAUUGGGAUAAUUGCCAUUAUGAUAUGCGGCCUUUUGCUUACCUAGGCGUCAAACUACUGGAUGUACAUACGUACUGGCGGUCAAUAUGAGUGAGCUUCGGUAGCGGUGGGCGCCUCACUUGACAACGGCGGGUACAUCUCAUGCUCCUGCGCAGCACGACCAAUGGAGAGAAAACUGCUUGGGCCAACCAACCCUGCGCUCAACGGGUGCUCUAAUGAACAGUUUCCGUAUAUUAGUGCUACUGGAGCAUCGUCCCCACGAGCGACACCAUGCGGACGGCCACUGUACAGCUUCCCGCCAUACAGCUUUUUCCUCUAACCAAAGAGGCUUUGUGCUACUACCAGAGGCUCCAGCCUCCAUUCGGUGUUGCCAUUGUUCUGGCAUACGCCUGACGUCUGGCGAGUCAUUCAGGGAAUUCGCUGUUAAUUCGCCAAAUUCCCGCGUUUCCAAGUCUCCCCGACGCUCAUCUUGCCUGAAAGUUGGCGGGGUUUCAGCCAGCCUGGUUCCGUAGGCAACAGCGAACGUGAGUAAGGAAGGCCUCCCAUAAGCCAUGGGUUUGCUAACCGAGAUUCCUGCUGUAACAGAGAGGUAGAAGGGCCAGAAAUAGUAGCCCUCUAUUGUCUUGAUGGGUUGGCUAUCGAAGGCGGGAGGCACGCCUCACACUAUUUUGGCUCGGCCUUCAUGGCGCUUUCCUUUUCCAUGACUAAACUAGAGCACAAUGAAACUUUAGUCUUAUAGCCUUACCAAGCUCUUCCGACUGAUGGACAUGCUGAACAGGGCAAUUCGACUCGAGGCGCUAUUCAUUCACUCGUCUUAUGUAUCCUGCCUCUCGAAAGAUGCUUCUUGCACCUUUCGCGUUAUCGUGUUACCGAGAAGAACGACAGAUAACGGCGACAACGAUGGCGACGAGGGAGCAGGAGGAUCCUUGUGAUGCAAAUCAACCAGCCCUUGCUGCUACUCUCUGAGGGAAAACGGAACGACGGACCUGAGGAAGUGCGGGCCAAGAAAUGGCGGAGGGCGCUAUGAGAGACGGAAUGGGGGUAGCCGAAAGGGCUCGCUGCAUGAAGAACAUCGUGAACGAGCGUGCGCACCAAAGGAAAUGUAAGAGGUGAAUCCACGAAAAUGCAAGACCGAAUAGGAGGAAAGGCCAAGUACGCGACACAGCGGUGGGCACAAGGUGACCUUUUACAGUGAGCACAGAUGAACAGGACAGGACAGCUCGCACUGGAAGAUCGCUGAAUGAGCUCUCACAUGUUUGAGGCAGAAUGAGAAACCUCACAUGAGUCACGUGUGUCCACUUUAACAGGCCAAUUGAAGAUGAGAAGGCUCACAACACAAACUGUGCCAAAGGACAUGAAUUUCAAGUAAAAGCAGACCCAUCGACAAUUCUCUCAGAGAAACCGAUGCGUCAUUAGAAACGACCACACGUGCGUGCACAGGUAUGACAUGGAGUCAAGACUACAAUAGUUGGGGUAUCGCUGCGAAGGCGAGCCCAGACCGAAUAUCCGAAUCAAAAAUUACACGUUUCCUCGUACUUUUCGACUAUCAGAGCGUCGUGCUUUAUGGUUUCAUGCUGAGUGACUCUAUUGACUUGGAUGUACUUACAAGAACUUUCGCGAAGAUUGGGUAAUGCUAUCUAUUAAAACAUGCCUAAAUUGUGGAACAAUAAGUCAUGGAUUCCUCGACAUGAUAUUGUGCCAAAUGUACGUCGCAAUUUGUAUUGUAUCCUUGCAAAAAAGCUAGUGCCAAUGUUACCCUGAACUCCAGAGUGAACCUCAACAUCCAAACGUAAAUACUCUCUCCCAAAGCUUAAGAAACACUCGAAAGGAGGUUAAUAAGGGGAAUUAAAAAAAAAAAAAGUGACAGAAAAACCUCUAUAGUUAAUUUCGAAAACUGUAACCACCAUAAAAGCGAUUAUGCGUGUGAAUUUAAGCAGACUGAGGCUAUUUGGGGAAGGUAUCGGACGACUGAAGUAGUUGCAGUUGGCUCAGGAUAAAAUCUUGGACUUUGAUCCAGAAGUGCUAUCCACAUCAAAAGUGUACUUUAUGUUGCGGUCCGGUCGUUGCCUUUAAACACACAGCUACAACUACAUAAAACUAAAUUUACUGUGAAACACCUUUUUUAAGCGUGCGUCAGCGAAUACUACAUUUUUUUUUCUGAGUACCAGUUCCUCUGUUAUAUGUCCUUUGGAAUCAUUAUGCCUAAAACUGGACCAGUUGGACGUUCGAGUGCGAAAACUGUGUUGACAGUUUACGUGGUAAAAUACGCCCGAGUAAAACAGGAGAAGAUACAAAGUCAUUUAACGCAACGACCUAAUGUACAAUUAGCGUUUAUGUAUAUAAACUACAGAUAACAAUAGAUAUACAAUAUAAGGAUAAUAUUAACUCUUUCACUUUCUUAUAGUUAUCGUUAGCUUAACCACCUUUAACAUGUAUACGUCAGACGUACAUUUUACCCUGGACAAUUUAGUAGAAACUGGUUUGACAGCAUAUGGCCUGUAUAAGUUGAUAAAGCAAAUCCUAUAUAUGAUAGACUAAAGCUUUCAACACAUUUUCUCUUUUUU
RNAcentral lists this long non-coding RNA (3039 nucleotides) under Varroa destructor (honeybee mite). Its description in RNAcentral is "uncharacterized LOC111255331, transcript variant X4". The record is from RNAcentral. Lineage: Eukaryota; Metazoa; Arthropoda; Arachnida; Mesostigmata; Varroidae.